RNAcentral lists this unclassified non-coding RNA (242 nucleotides) under Hevea brasiliensis (rubber tree). The record is from RNAcentral. Lineage: Eukaryota; Viridiplantae; Streptophyta; Magnoliopsida; Malpighiales; Euphorbiaceae.
GAGCUGGCUUUCUCAAGAUUUUGCCGUUCCUCGGUGACAGAUUUUGGUCUUUUCAAACAAAAUUGGCUUGCUUUUGAGCAGCCUUUCUUCCCCCUGUUGGUGCUUUCAACUCUUGCCAUUUCAUUGCUACUGAUGACUAUUUACUUGGCUCAAAUCUUUAUAUGGCUUAAGUCAUCACUAGGCUGGGAUCAAUGCGCAUUCGUCAGCUUACACACUCAGUCUAUCUAUGGCACUUGUUUUCU